ACCCGGCUGGCGCAAUGGUAGCGCGUCAGACUUCUAAUCUGAAGGUUGUGGGUUCGACCCCCACGUUGGGUU
This 72-nucleotide transfer RNA is filed under the name Tuber melanosporum (Perigord truffle). RNAcentral's name for it is "tRNA-Arg (TCT) (tRNA-Arg-TCT-1-1)". It matches the Rfam family "tRNA". Rfam says of the family: Transfer RNA (tRNA) molecules are approximately 80 nucleotides in length. Their secondary structure includes four short double-helical elements and three loops (D, anti-codon, and T loops). Lineage: Eukaryota; Fungi; Ascomycota; Pezizomycetes; Pezizales; Tuberaceae. The record is from RNAcentral.